This 485-nucleotide ribosomal RNA is filed under the name uncultured Desulfobacteraceae bacterium. RNAcentral describes it as "bacterial SSU rRNA". It matches the Rfam family "Bacterial small subunit ribosomal RNA", at positions 897 to 1382 of the family's 1533-position model. Lineage: Bacteria; Pseudomonadati; Thermodesulfobacteriota; Desulfobacteria; Desulfobacterales; Desulfobacteraceae. The record is from RNAcentral.
AAACUUAAAUGAAUUGACGGGGGCCCGCACAAGCGGUGGAGUAUGUGGUUUAAUUCGACGCAACGCGAAGAACCUUACCUGGAUUUGACAUCCCGGGAAUCUUUCUGAAAGGAUUGAGUGCCCUUCGGGGAGCCCGGUGACAGGUGCUGCAUGGCUGUCGUCAGCUCGUGUCGUGAGAUGUUGGGUUAAGUCCCGCAACGAGCGCAACCCUUAUCUUUAGUUACCAUCAUUAAGUUGGGGACUCUAAAGAUACUGCCCCGGUUAACGGGAGGAAGGUGGGGAUGACGUCAAGUCCUCAUGGCCUUUAUGUCCAGGGCUACACACGUGCUACAAUGGGUUGUACAAAGGGUUGCGAACUCGCGAGAGUAAGCCAAUCCCAAAAAGCAACUCUUAGUUCGGAUUGGAGUCUGCAACUCGACUCCAUGAAGCUGGAAUCGCUAGUAAUCGUGGAUCAGCAUGCCACGGUGAAUACGUUCCCGGGCCUU